CUGGAAGCGUCUCACGGCGCACCCAGAAACCCUAUGUGAACUUAUACCACUAUGUUGCCUCGGCGCGAGCCGGGGGCUUCUAUAAGCCCCCCCUUACCUCGGUGAGGAGCAGGCCCGCCGGCGGCCCUAUAAACUCUUGUUUUAACGUAUCUCUUCUGAGUACAAAUUAUAAAUGAAUCA
RNAcentral lists this unclassified non-coding RNA (180 nucleotides) under uncultured Diaporthales. RNAcentral's name for it is "sequence contains ITS1". The record is from RNAcentral. Lineage: Eukaryota; Fungi; Ascomycota; Sordariomycetes; Diaporthales.